CACAAACGGAUUUUCUUUGAUUUGCAUUAGUGUACUAUAUUACUUUCUGUAUUGGAUUACUUUUUGGCAAUGAUACCACUCCAAUAUACGGCUGAUCACUGCAAUGAAGGUUACAGGUGCUUUUCUACAAGGUUAACCAAAGGACUUAAAAGGUUCCUUUACGACAUGUGGACAACCAGGAAGCGAUUUAUGAAGGCAUAUUUGAGGAAGCUAAUAUAUCAAUUGAACCUGCUGUAAAGCUUUCAGUGCAGUGCGAGGACGACCAACGGGGCCUUUGUGG
Molecule: long non-coding RNA, 280 nt
Organism: Pimephales promelas (fathead minnow)
Lineage: Eukaryota; Metazoa; Chordata; Actinopteri; Cypriniformes; Leuciscidae
Source: RefSeq, a predicted model, not a curated record